Oncorhynchus tshawytscha (Chinook salmon) is the source of this 1329-nucleotide long non-coding RNA. The record is from Ensembl. NCBI's taxonomy places the organism in Eukaryota, Metazoa, Chordata, Actinopteri, Salmoniformes, Salmonidae.
GUCCGCUUUAUGUUCUUCAAAGAACUGCAACAAUAAAAAUAAAAGUAAAAUACGGUAGAAAAUGUAUAAAAUUAAAAGGCUAAACAAACAGUUUUAUGAACAAUACCACAGCUCAAUGCUUCUUCUUUACUUCAGAUAUAGAGCAUAGAGGAGACGGAAGAGAGGAAGAGAGGGGUAGACUAGAGGGAGAGAGGAAGAGAGGGGUAGACUAGAGGGAGAGAGGAAGAGAGGGGUAGACUAGAGGGAGAGAGGAAGAGAGGGGUAGACUAGAGGGAGAGAAGAGAAGGGGUAGACUAGAGGGAGAGAGGAAGAGAGGGGGUAGACUAGAGGGAGAGAAGAGAAGGGUUAGACUAGAGGGAGAGAGGAAGAGAGGGGUAGACUAGAGGGAGAGAAGAGAAGGGGUAGACUAGAGGGAGAGGGGAUAGACUAGAGGGAGAGAAGAGAAGGGUUAGACUAGAGGGAGAGAAGAGAAGGGGUAGACUAGAGGGAGAGAGGGGGUAGACUAGAGGGAGAGAAGGGAAGGGGUAGACUAGAGGGAGAGAGGGGGUAGACUACAGGGAGAGAGGGGGUAGACUACAGGGAGAGAAGGGAAGGGGUAGACUACAGGGAGAGGAACAGAGAGAAAUAGAGAUAUAUGGAAAGAUAAAGAGUUGGAGAGAGGGAAAUAAUUAGUUACAUUUUUCCGUUUAUUUACUACUUUUUCUUUAAUGAUUUAUGUCCCGCUCACAGUCUGAUUCCCAUGCAACCAUGUGAUUGGCUGGCAAUAUUGCUUGGAUGACCUGGGGGAGUUCACUGACAGCAGAUACAAAUACAAUGAGCAGAUCAGAAACAAUGGAGAGUUCUGCCCGUUCUGGACAGUGAAUUUCUAUCUGCUUUGUUCCUACAGUUAGCCCGUGUCUCAAAUGGCAGCCUGUGCACUACUUUUGACCAGAGCCACGUAGAUCAUAGGCCUCUGGUCUAAAGUCAUGCACUUUUAGAGGAAAAGGGUGCCAUUUAAGACACAUACAGUCUUACACGCUCUGAAUGACUUCAUACUCACCCCCUCAACCUUCUCCACAUCGCCCGCACUCACACACACACACACACACACACACCCCACACCCACACCCACACCCACCCACACCCACACACACACACACACACACACACACACACACACACACACCUGCCUGGCUGGGGUUGAUCACCUGGACAACGGGCGGGACAAUCAACCAAUGAGGUGAAGCAACAGGAUGCACGGAGAGGGAGGGCCAAUGACAGUAAAUUAACUCAAAUUCUCUUAGCCAAUGGCAUCAUGAACAGCUCUAUCGCUAUAGAAACACAUGAUAA